CCUACGGGAGGCAGCAGUAGGGAAUAUUGCUCAAUGGGGGAAACCCUGAAGCAGCAACGCCGCGUGGAGGAUGAAGGUUUUCGGAUUGUAAACUCCUUUUGUUAGAGAAGAUAAUGACGGUAUCUAACGAAUAAGCACCGGCUAACUCCGUGCCAGCAGCCGCGGUAAUACGGAGGGUGCAAGCGUUACUCGGAAUCACUGGGCGUAAAGAGCGCGUAGGCGGGAUAGCAAGUCAGAUGUGAAAGCCUAUGGCUUAACCAUAGAACUGCAUUUGAAACUGUUAUUCUAGAGUAUGGGAGAGGUAGGUGGAAUGCUUGGUGUAGGGGUAAAAUGCGUAGAGAUCAAGAAGAAUACUCAUUGCGAAGGCGACCUGCUAGAACAUAACUGACGCUGAUGCGCGAAAGCGUGGGGAGCAAACAGGAUUAGAUACCCCAGUAGUC
RNAcentral lists this ribosomal RNA (440 nucleotides) under uncultured bacterium. RNAcentral describes it as "partial 16S ribosomal RNA". It matches the Rfam family "Bacterial small subunit ribosomal RNA", at positions 338 to 795 of the family's 1533-position model. The record is from RNAcentral.